AACGCGAAGAACCUUACCAGGGCUUGACAUCCUCUGUAAAUGCAGAAAUGCAUUCCCCAUGGCAACAUGGCAGGGUGACAGGUGCUGCAUGGCUGUCGUCAGCUCGUGUCGUGAGAUGUUGGGUUAAGUCCCGCAACGAGCGCAACCCUCGUCGAGUGUUGCCAUCAUUUAGUUGGGCACUCACUCGAGACCGCCGUUGAUAAGACGGAGGAAGGUGGGGAUGACGUCAAGUCCGCAUGGCCCUUACGUCCUGGGCUACACACGUGCUACAAUGGCCGGUACAACGGGCAGCUAGUCCGCGAGGACAAGCUAAUCCCUUAAAACCGGUCUCAGUUCGGAUUGAAGGCUGCAACUCGCCUUCAUGAAGUCGGAAUCGCUAGUAACUGCAGAUCAGCUACGCUGCGGUGAAUACGUUCCCGGGCCUUGUA
This 428-nucleotide ribosomal RNA is filed under the name uncultured bacterium. RNAcentral describes it as "bacterial SSU rRNA". It matches the Rfam family "Bacterial small subunit ribosomal RNA", at positions 958 to 1385 of the family's 1533-position model. The record is from RNAcentral.